CAAAUCAGGAUAAUUCAAAGAGGUAUACUUUUCAAGACACUGAUUUCCAAAGUGUCAGGGAAAGAUAAAGGAUAAUUCAGGUGCCUAGUGUUAGUAGUGAAACUUUCAACACCAGUAGGCUUGAAAGAUAGAAGGGAGGAAGAAAUUGCUAGAAUCUGCAAGGAGAAAGUCAGGUGGAUUGGGUUGGCUUCAGAGAUUCAAGUGACCUGCUGUGGAAAGUCCUAGCUAGACAAAGGCAACGACAGGGAGUGGGAGCAAGGGAAUCUAUAUCCUAACCUCAUUCUUCUCCCUUCUGAUAUCUUUUUGUGCUCCAAAACCAGAAGCCAGAAGAUUUGGUACCUAUUAAUAUAAUCCACAGAGCUUAACCUCCACCAGCAAGGCAAAAGAAGCAAAUGACUAUUAUAGAUGUUACGGGUGGAGGACUUGAACAUUCUGUCAAUGGAAAGAAACGUCUUUGAAUACUUAACAUUGGGUUUGAAAGUGUGAUUCAUCUGAAUGAAUCCCUUCAGUUAUACAGUUAGGAUGAAGCUGAGAUCAGAUCACAGUGCUGUCAUGACAUUGCUGACAUCUGCAGGUUGGGGCUUGUCCUCCCCAUAGGCCUGUCUCUGCAUCCACCCUGGAAAGAAGAAUGUAACACUUUAGGUUGAUCCUGACCUGGACCUGCAGGUACAGAGAUGCUACCUUUGAUUGUUGACUCUGUGCUCUCCUUCUGGGGCAAAGACUUCUAUCUUUUAAUGUUAAAAGGGCAAUGUUAUGUAUAGUUCAUACAUUUUAAAGAAUUUAUAAAAAAACCCUUUUCUGAAAUAACCAGUGAGAUAAAGGAACAACAGGUAGUUUUUUAAAUUAAACUCCUGUGAGUGGGUGUUGAUUUAUGCUUGGCCGUGUUUUAUUCCACAUGUUGUCUGUUC
Molecule: long non-coding RNA, 908 nt
Filed under: Oryctolagus cuniculus (rabbit)
Lineage: Eukaryota; Metazoa; Chordata; Mammalia; Lagomorpha; Leporidae
Description: lncRNA (ENSOCUG00000034694.1)
Source: RNAcentral